Molecule: ribosomal RNA, 405 nt
Filed under: uncultured bacterium
Lineage: Bacteria
Description: partial 16S ribosomal RNA
Rfam family: Bacterial small subunit ribosomal RNA
Source: RNAcentral
AUUGAACGCUGGCGGCAGGCUUAACACAUGCAAGUCGAACGAGUGGCGGACGGGUGAGUAAUGUUUGGGAAUCUGGCUUAUGGAGGGGGAUAACUACUGGAAACGGUAGCUAAUACCGCAUACCCUAGGAUGUGCCCAAGUGGGAUUAGCUAGUUGGUGGGGUAACGGCUCACCCAGCCGAUGAUCUCUAGCUGGUCUGAGAGGAGGACCAGCCACACUGGGACUGAGACACGGCCCAGACUCCUACGGGAGGCAGCAGUGGGGAAUAUUGCGCAAUGGGGGCAACCUGACGCAGCCAUGCCGCGUGAAUGAAGAAGGCCUUCGGGUUGUAAAGUUCUUUCGGUAGCGAGGCGUUAACUACAGAAGAAGCACCGGCUAACUCCGUGCCAGCAGCCGCGGUAAUUC